This is a non-coding RNA of Plutella xylostella (diamondback moth), 1009 nucleotides long. NCBI's taxonomy places the organism in Eukaryota, Metazoa, Arthropoda, Insecta, Lepidoptera, Plutellidae. The record is from RefSeq and is a predicted model, not a curated record.
UUGCAUUCUCAUUUUGGACUUUUGUUUUGCUUUACGAUUUGGCUGGACAUAUUUUUCUUGGAACGACGACCUUUGCACGGCAUCACGGACUUUGAUAUAGCAUACGAUUGGUAUUAUUUCUCAAGGAGUAAUCAGGAGGUAAGAAUGAUUUAGAUCUAUUACCUACAACGGAAAUCUAUUAGACGCACUUUAAUAUUGUAUUGCCCUCGUAACAAAUUAUUUGAAUAGAUCACAAUUACUGAAAUGUAUGUGUGUACAAUUAUAUUUGUUUUUAAGAUUAUACCUAAUGAGCGAGCCGCAGCCAGGUGCGUCGGGGACUGCUCCGCCGGCGCCGCCGCCGGUCAAAAAACGAAAAUUGGCUGUUAAAAAACAGUUAUCGCAAAGGGAGAAAAAAUUUUUGGUGAAUAUUUAUAAUCACUUGGAGAAAACCUCUCCUACAUACCCAUCAAAAAUGGAAUUAUAUAAAACCACCUCAAAAAUAAUGGACGUCUCAGAAUAUAUUGUUCGUGACGUAAUGAAACAUUACACACAAAAUCAAGAAGUACCCCAGCCUAAGGAGAGACCUGCAAAUCGAGCCAUAAUUGAUAAGUUAGAUGAUUUUAUCUUAUCUGCAAUAAGAAGAAAGGUUCAUAAAUUUUACUAUGAUGGGGAAUUGCCAACCAUUGCCAAAAUUUUUACAGCAGUCAAUGAAGGUGACAGCCUACCAAAUUUUACAUUCGGUACAAUGUAUAGAAUAUUGAAGAAAUUAAACUUCACAUACUGCAAGCGAUCAAGAAAAAGCAUUUUGCUAGAUAGACCUGACUUACAAAUUUGGAGGGUGAAUUAUUUGUUGAAAAUCAAUGAAUACAGAGAGCAAAAUAAAAAGAUUUAUUAUUUGGAUGAAACAUGGCUUAAUGAGGGGCACACCUGCAAUUAUGUGUGGAUGGAUAAUGACAUCAAGAGUAGUAGACAGGCAUUCUUGAGAGGCCUUUCAAGUGGCUUAAAAAAUCCUCAGAAAGGAAAGAGGCUG